Molecule: non-coding RNA, 76 nt
Organism: Hymenopellis radicata
Lineage: Eukaryota; Fungi; Basidiomycota; Agaricomycetes; Agaricales; Physalacriaceae
Source: the annotation of a GenBank genome assembly
GACUGGGGUGGUGCAGUGGUCCAGCAUGCCGUGGUGGUCCCAUGGAGACCUGGGUUCGAAUCCCAGUCGCCGGUCA